UUUAAUUGGUUCCCUGAGGUAAAAAAAAAAAGAAAAGCUGCAUAGAAAUUAUAUUAAGGCCUUUUGGAUUAGGCCCAGGCGAGGGUGUGUUCUUCCAGGCAGAGAGUGACCCUGGCCUAAACAAUGACUAAGAAGGCAAAGACUUUAUGCAUCAUAGAGAGAGUUCAAGCCUUGUGAUGGAGGCCGCAGCCCGUGGACAGUGUGAGGCUGGUAGCGGCCCCCCCGCACGCCGGGCCCGGGGCUUCUCGGAGUCGGGUUCCUUGGGAAUGCAGCCCAAAGCGGGUGGUAAACUCCCUCUAAGGCUAAAUACCAGCACGAGACCGAUAGCCAACAAGUACUGUAAGGGAAAGUUGAAAAGAACUUUGAAGAGUUCUCUGAUUCUGUGAUGAGUUGAAUUCCUUCUCAUCAUACAUAAACAUUUUAGAUCUAAGGCUAUAAAGUGAUUAACAGCAGAAGCCAGAAAUACGUUCUUCUAUUAAAGUACUUGUUAUUCUUAAAAAUCCAUCAUCAAAAUUACCUAGAUAUAGAACACCGUGUAAGCUGAAGCACUUCUGUACUGCACUUCCGUUCUAAAGUAAGUCCACCCACUGUGG
Molecule: non-coding RNA, 593 nt
Filed under: Phaethon lepturus (White-tailed tropicbird)
Lineage: Eukaryota; Metazoa; Chordata; Aves; Phaethontiformes; Phaethontidae
Description: Eukaryotic large subunit ribosomal RNA
Rfam family: Eukaryotic large subunit ribosomal RNA
Source: Rfam by way of RNAcentral